CUGACAGGAGCCCAUGGACAUGUCAGCGACAAAUCUUGCAAGGAACAAGUGUUAUUUAUAAGCCCUCCUUGUAUUUUCUUUCAUUUUGCUUGUUUGCGGAGUCAUAAAAAUGUCAUUUUGAGAUAAGUAUGUAUAUGAUAUCAGACUUUCGCGAGGGAUCACCGUUCAGUUUUAUAAGGCACGAGUGGGUUACCAUCGCUUACAGUAAAGGCGCCAUGACUCCUGCUAACUUACCCCUGCUGGUCUGGUUAUUUACUUUCUUGUUCGUCCAGGAAUCUGUUGCUUCAGGCCUGAUCUGUUAUUCGUGCUCUUACACGAACACUGGUGGAGCGGGCGGGGACGAGUGUUUGGAGGAGCCAUGGAAUGUAACAACAGCUAAUAUGGUCAAGUGUACCAUGGCAGGAGACGUGUGUAUAAUUCGCGGAGUGUACCAGAAAUCUAUCAAAGGGUACCAGUCGUUUACUCGAGGGUGCGGUACCUAUCAGAAAUCAUGCUCGGAAGACGUUUACUUCAUUACCUGCUCCACUCGCUGCGAGAUCGACCGAUGUAACUGGGAUAAACUGUCAAUCCCGGGGGUGGGUGGUGGGGGUGGGGGUGCAGGAAAUGCUGCAGUAAGGCCAUGGGACAUAUCCAGCCUAGGAUUGAUAACAGGCCUCAUCCUAUCACUAUACAAACAAGUCUAGCCCUAUUCACAUGUUGGCUUAUGUACUAGGCUUUUGUAUUCUUGCUUUACUGAAAUACACGUACAUGUACCGGCCAGGUCUAACACAUUGCAAGGGUGAUUAUACAACUAAAGAUAUAAUGGAAAAUCAUCAUGUUAGCUUAUAACAGUAUGCCUGAAAAUCACGGUGUAAUAUAUAGUUAACACCAGAAGUCAGGUUGCACAAAUGAUAUAUUGUCAGCAAGAUUCAGAGCACUCCGGAAAGUGUUGCAACUGUUAGGUAUUCGUUGUUCCAUGCCAGGUCUAUGAUGCUUUCAUUUUUUACCUAUAUGACGGGCAUACCCAGCUGAAAGAGUUGUCCGCCAUGCUCGUAUCUGGAGGGUAGCUUAGUGACAUAAUCAAUCAACCUUAUUUAGAGGGCAUUAUUGGUAUUAAUUUUAGAAAUAUUUUAUCAGGAUUAAUUAAUUAAAACCCCCGUAAAUUCAAUCAGAGGUGGAGAAAUUCGUAAUUCUUAAGAUCUAUGGGUUUUAAAAAAUGAGUUACGAAAACUUUGUGAUACUGUAGAAGAUGAAUACCAUUUCAUUUUGAUUUGUUCAUUUUUUUAAAUUUGUUUUGCGGCAAAUGUGCGUUCCUACAUAGUUUUAGACCAUCCCUAGCAGAGACACACUCGAACGACUCUUAAACAGCCUGUUGCUUUCACCAUGUUCCAUUUAUAUUUGUGGACUUAAAAGCGUUUAUACACAGAAUUAUACGGCGUUAAACCCCCAAGCAUACAUAAAUACAUACAUACA
Long non-coding RNA from Liolophura sinensis, 1452 nucleotides. RefSeq lists it as uncharacterized. NCBI's taxonomy places the organism in Eukaryota, Metazoa, Mollusca, Polyplacophora, Chitonida, Chitonidae. The transcript has 3 exons. The record is from RefSeq and is a predicted model, not a curated record.